ACACUCCUGCGGGAGGCAGCAGUGGGGAAUUUUGGACAAUGGGCGAAAGCCUGAUCCAGCAAUGCCGCGUGAGUGAAGAAGGCCUUCGGGUUGUAAAGCUCUUUUGUCAGGGAAGAAACGGUGAAAGCUAAUAUCUUUUGCUAAUGACGGUACCUGAAGAAUAAGCACCGGCUAACUACGUGCCAGCAGCCGCGGUAAUACGUAGGGUGCAAGCGUUAAUCGGAAUUACUGGGCGUAAAGCGUGCGCAGGCGGUUUUGUAAGUCUGAUGUGAAAUCCCCGGGCUCAACCUGGGAAUGACAUUGGAGACUGCAAGGCUAGAAUCUGGCAGAGGGGGGUAGAAUUCCACGUGUAGCAGUGAAAUGCGUAGAUAUGUGGAGGAACACCGAUGGCGAAAGCAGCCCCCUGGGUCAAGAUUGACGCUCAUGCACGAAAGCGUGGGGAGCAAACAGGAUUAGAUACCCGUGUAGUCCCAUGAU
This 477-nucleotide ribosomal RNA is filed under the name uncultured organism. Its description in RNAcentral is "partial 16S ribosomal RNA". It matches the Rfam family "Bacterial small subunit ribosomal RNA", at positions 333 to 801 of the family's 1533-position model. The record is from RNAcentral.